This 253-nucleotide ribosomal RNA is filed under the name uncultured bacterium. RNAcentral's name for it is "partial 16S ribosomal RNA". It matches the Rfam family "Bacterial small subunit ribosomal RNA", at positions 524 to 776 of the family's 1533-position model. The record is from RNAcentral.
UACGUAGGUGGCAAGCGUUGUCCGGAUUUACUGGGCGUAAAGCGCGCGCAGGCGGCCAACUAAGUCAGACGUGAAAUCCCUCGGCUUAACCGGGGAACUGCAUCUGAUACUGGAUGGCUUGAGUUCGGGAGAGGGAUGCGGAAUUCCAGGUGUAGCGGUGAAAUGCGUAGAUAUCUGGAGGAACACCGGUGGCGAAGGCGGCAUCCUGGACCGACACUGACGCUGAGGAGCGAAAGCCAGGGGAGCAAACGGG